GAUCUUGGCCUUAGUCUUUUGGGAGACGUAACACCACCAGGUGCCAGAAUAGUAGGUGCAGAAGAUUUGUCUCUGGAUGAUACUGCCAUUCGAGGUGCAUGUUUCAUGGAUUCCAGUUCAUUUGACAUUAGGGAGCUGAUUGUCCCAAUGGUUCCAACUUUGAUGGACCCUCCACCACCUUUGAUGGCCUCCAAUGUCUGAACCAUGUUUUUCUCCAGUCUCUAUCAGAGUUCUGAGCAGAACUUUUGUAAGAGAAACUUUUAAAAUCUCUUCAGCUAGUUGGGACAG
RNAcentral lists this long non-coding RNA (288 nucleotides) under Panax ginseng (ginseng). RNAcentral describes it as "long non-coding RNA (PGIN_LNC014294)". The record is from RNAcentral. Lineage: Eukaryota; Viridiplantae; Streptophyta; Magnoliopsida; Apiales; Araliaceae.